Molecule: transfer RNA, 71 nt
Filed under: Chrysotila carterae
Lineage: Eukaryota; Haptophyta; Isochrysidales; Isochrysidaceae
Description: tRNA-Trp
Rfam family: tRNA
About the family: Transfer RNA (tRNA) molecules are approximately 80 nucleotides in length. Their secondary structure includes four short double-helical elements and three loops (D, anti-codon, and T loops). Further hydrogen bonds mediate the characteristic L-shaped molecular structure. tRNAs have two regions of fundamental functional importance: the anti-codon, which is responsible for specific mRNA codon recognition, and the 3' end, to which the tRNAs corresponding amino acid is attached (by aminoacyl-tRNA synthetases). tRNAs cope with the degeneracy of the genetic code in two manners: having more than one tRNA (with a specific anti-codon) for a particular amino acid; and 'wobble' base-pairing, i.e. permitting non-standard base-pairing at the 3rd anti-codon position.
Source: RNAcentral
UGAAGCUUUAUUUAUUGGUAAAAUGUUAGAUUUCAAAACUAAAAAAGUUAGUUCGAUUCUAGCAGUUUCUG